RNAcentral lists this ribosomal RNA (465 nucleotides) under Vreelandella stevensii. Its description in RNAcentral is "partial 16S ribosomal RNA". It matches the Rfam family "Bacterial small subunit ribosomal RNA", at positions 338 to 795 of the family's 1533-position model. Lineage: Bacteria; Pseudomonadati; Pseudomonadota; Gammaproteobacteria; Oceanospirillales; Halomonadaceae. The record is from RNAcentral.
CCUACGGGCGGCAGCAGUGGGGAAUAUUGGACAAUGGGCGAAAGCCUGAUCCAGCCAUGCCGCGUGUGUGAAGAAGGCCUUCGGGUUGUAAAGCACUUUCAGUGGGGAAGAAAGCCUUGGGGCUAAUACCCUCGAGGAAGGACAUCACCCACAGAAGAAGCACCGGCUAACUCCGUGUCAGCAGCCGCGGUAAUACGGAGGGUGCGAGCGUUAAUCGGAAUUACUGGGCGUAAAGCGUGCGUAGGCGGUCUGAUAAGCCGGUUGUGAAAGCCCCGGGCUCAACCUGGGAACGGCAUCCGGAACUGUCAGGCUAGAGUGCAGGAGAGGAAGGUAGAAUUCCCGGUGUAGCGGUGAAAUGCGUAGAGAUCGGGAGGAAUACCAGUGGCGAAGGCGGCCUUCUGGACUGACACUGACGCUGAGGUGCGAAAGCGUGGGUAGCAAACAGGAUUAGAUACCCCGGUAGUC